Molecule: transfer RNA, 71 nt
Filed under: Cordylochernes scorpioides
Lineage: Eukaryota; Metazoa; Arthropoda; Arachnida; Pseudoscorpiones; Chernetidae
Description: tRNA-Gly
Source: RNAcentral
UGCAUCGGCCGGGAUUCGAACCCGGGGCGCCCGCGUGGCAGGCGAGCAUUCUACCACUGAACCACCGAUGG